This 301-nucleotide ribosomal RNA is filed under the name uncultured bacterium. Its description in RNAcentral is "partial 16S ribosomal RNA". It matches the Rfam family "Bacterial small subunit ribosomal RNA", at positions 509 to 809 of the family's 1533-position model. The record is from RNAcentral.
CAGUAGCCACGGGAAUACGGAGGGUGCAAGCGUUAAUCGGAAUUACUGGGCGUAAAGCGCACGCAGGCGGUCUGACAAGUCAGAUGUGAAAUCCCCGGGCUUAACCUGGGAACUGCAUUUGAAACUGUCAGGCUGGAGUCUUGUAGAGGGGGGUGGAAUUCCAGGUGUAGCGGUGAAAUGCGUAGAGAUCUGGAGGAAUACCGGUGGCGAAGGCGGCCCCCUGGACAAAGACUGACGCUCAGGUGCGAAAGCGUGGGGAGCAAACAGGAUUAGAUACCCGCGUAGUCCCUGUCUCUUAUAU